GAUGAACGCUAGCGGCAGGCUUAAUACAUGCAAGUCGAACGAGGUGUAGCAAUACACCUAGUGGCGCACGGGUGCGUAACGCGUAUGCAACUUACCUCUUACAGGGGGAUAACUCGGGGAAACUCGGGCUAAUACCGCGUAAUAAUAGUGUUGGCAUCAGUACUAUUUAAAAGCUUCGGCGGUAAGAGAUGGGCAUGCGUGCCAUUAGCUAGUUGGGGAGGUAACGGCGCACCAAGGCGACGAUGGCUAGGGGGUCUGAGAGGACGAUCCCCCACACUGGUACUGAGAUACGGACCAGACUCCUACGGGAGGCAGCAGUAAGGAAUAUUGGGCAAUGGUCGGAAGACUGACCCAGCCAUGCCGCGUGCAGGAAGAAGGCGCUCAGCGUUGUAAACUGCUUUUGUCGGAGAAGAAAACCCCCUUGCGAGGGAGCCUGACGGUAUCCGACGAAUAAGCAUCGGCUAACUACGUGCCAGCCGCCGCAGUAA
Molecule: ribosomal RNA, 488 nt
Filed under: uncultured bacterium
Lineage: Bacteria
Description: partial 16S ribosomal RNA
Rfam family: Bacterial small subunit ribosomal RNA
Source: RNAcentral